GCCGGGAGUCGGGCGGACGAGGCAGUCGCCAACCUGGUCAGGUCCGGAAGGAAGCAGCCACAACGACAAAGUUUCGGGUCGUUCCGGCUCCCACCUCG
This 98-nucleotide signal recognition particle RNA is filed under the name Sphingomonas sp. Its description in RNAcentral is "signal recognition particle sRNA small type". It matches the Rfam family "Bacterial small signal recognition particle RNA". From Rfam's summary of the family: The signal recognition particle (SRP) is a universally conserved ribonucleoprotein involved in the co-translational targeting of proteins to membranes. The record is from RNAcentral. Lineage: Bacteria; Pseudomonadati; Pseudomonadota; Alphaproteobacteria; Sphingomonadales; Sphingomonadaceae.